Long non-coding RNA from Lytechinus variegatus (green sea urchin), 729 nucleotides. RefSeq lists it as uncharacterized. NCBI's taxonomy places the organism in Eukaryota, Metazoa, Echinodermata, Echinoidea, Temnopleuroida, Toxopneustidae. The transcript is spliced from 3 exons. The record is from RefSeq and is a predicted model, not a curated record.
CCUUUAUAUUGUUUUUAGACACUGAAAAUGCAUGUUUGCCUGUUUUGUAGGCCUGUGAAGCGGAAUGGAGCGGAAAGGUUGCCCAGAGACAAACAGAAAAAAAAGAUGAAGAACAAUGGACAGCGAUUUCUACGAAGGCACUUGAAGACAAGACAGAUCAAACAUCAAAUCAGCAGCAAUGGACAGUGAUCAUGAUGUGAAAGAGCACGACAAGAUCUGGGGCCUGUUUCAUGAAAGACUUUCAACUCUUGCAACUCUGCCAUUAUUGUAACUACCGUGGUAACAUGGCUCAAAAGCCAAUUCACGUCGAGGUUACAGUUACAAUAAUGGCAUGAUUACCAUAGUUGUAAUUCUUUAUGAAACGGGACCAAGGAGGAAUGCCAUCGUGACGGACAGAGGGAGAGGAUCUUUGCCAGUACUUAUCCUGAUAAACGAUCUUGCUUGGAGAAACAGAACAAGAUGUGAGUGAGAAGAUUGUCCUUGGUCUUUCCAAUGCUGGAGGAGGCAGAUCAGAUGAUACACAGUUUGAUCAGAGGUUAUUCAGUCCAUCCAAGACAAUGAAGACAAGAUGAGAGAGCAAGACAAGAUCAGGGAGGAACGGCAUCAUGAGAGACAGGAGGAGAGGAACUUUGCCCAUACAGGAUAAUAGCGAGAAGAUUGCCCUUGGACUGGAGAAGGCAGAUCAGAUGAUAUACAGUAGGUGGUUUCAGACCGCCUAGAAGUUCGCCA